UAGGGAAUAUUGGGCAAUGGACGGAAGUCUGACCCAGCCAUGCCGCGUGCAGGAUGAAGGCCUUCUGGGUUGUAAACUGCUUUUAUCUAGGAAGAAAACGCCCAUGCGUGGGAAACUGACGGUACUAGAUGAAUAAGCACCGGCUAACUCCGUGCCAGCAGCCGCGGUAAUACGGAGGGUGCAAGCGUUGUCCGGAUUUAUUGGGUUUAAAGGGUGCGUAGGCGGCCCGUUAAGUCAGUGGUGAAAGCCUCCAGCUCAACUGGAGAACUGCCAUUGAUACUGACGGGCUUGAGUACAGACGAGGUUGGCGGAAUUGAUUGUGUAGCGGUGAAAUGCAUAGAUACAAUCAAGAACUCCGAUUGCGUAGGCAGCUAACUAGGCUGUAACUGACGCUGAGGCACGAAAGCGUGGGGAGCGAACA
This 421-nucleotide ribosomal RNA is filed under the name uncultured Adhaeribacter sp. RNAcentral's name for it is "bacterial SSU rRNA". It matches the Rfam family "Bacterial small subunit ribosomal RNA", at positions 355 to 774 of the family's 1533-position model. The record is from RNAcentral. Lineage: Bacteria; Pseudomonadati; Bacteroidota; Cytophagia; Cytophagales; Hymenobacteraceae.